AGAGUUCGUAGGUGGUUGAAAAAGUUAGUGGUGAAAUCCCAGAGCUUAACUCUGGAACUGCCAUUAAAACUUUUCAGCUAGAGUAUGAUAGAGGAAAGCAGAAUUUCUAGUGUAGAGGUGAAAUUCGUAGAUAUUAGAAAGAAUACCAAUUGCGAAGGCAGCUUUCUGGAUCAUUACUGACACUGAGGAACGAAAGCAUGGGUAGCGAAGAGGAUUAGAUACCCUCGUAGUCCAUGCCGUAAACGAUGUGUGUUAGACGUUGGAAAUUUAUUUUCAGUGUCGCAGGGAAACCGAUAAACACACCGCCUGGGGAGUACGACCGCAAGGUUAAAACUCAAAUGAAUUGACGGGGACCCGCACAAGUAGUGGAGCAUGUGGUUUAAUUCGAAGAUACGCGCAGAACCUUACCAACACUUGACAUGUUCGUCGCGACUCUAAGAGAUUAGAGUUUUCGGUUCGGCCGGACGAAACACAGGUGCUGCAUGGCUGUCGUCAGCUCGUGUCGUGAGAUGUUGGGUUAAGUCCCGCAACGAGCGCAACCCUCACUUUUAGUUGCCAUCAUUAAGUUGGGCACUCUGAAAGAACUGCCAGUGAUAAGCUGGAGGAAGGUAGGGAUGACGUCAAGUCCUCAUGGCCCUUACGUGUUGGGCUACACACGUGCUACAAUGGUAUCUACAACAGGAAGCAAGACUGCGAAGUUAAGCAAAUCCCUAAAAGAUACCUCAGUUCGGAUU
Molecule: ribosomal RNA, 734 nt
Filed under: uncultured bacterium
Lineage: Bacteria
Description: bacterial SSU rRNA
Rfam family: Bacterial small subunit ribosomal RNA
Source: RNAcentral